Molecule: long non-coding RNA, 617 nt
Filed under: Dromaius novaehollandiae (emu)
Lineage: Eukaryota; Metazoa; Chordata; Aves; Casuariiformes; Dromaiidae
Description: lncRNA (ENSDNVG00000008554.1)
Source: RNAcentral
AAGCUGCUGGUAUCGGGGUUGCUGGUCAGUUUGUCGCUGUCUUUCCCAUGCUGCCGUUGACUUCUCUCCUACUUUAAGAAGGAGCAAGGAAGAUCUGAUCUAGGACGGCUUCUCAGAGUCGCUCCUGCUGGCGAGUGUCAGCUGACCUUAUUCCCCUCUAUAUUGCUAUCUGCUGAAGGAAAACAUCAGAGGAGAAGGUGAAACAGCACAGCGGGGCUGGACAGCUGUGAGCUAUUGAAUGGGAAGUUUCUGCCCUGGGCGCUGAUCGCGAUGGCACUUCGGGGGUCCUGAAGAACUGGCGGCUGCGGCACCGCAGGAGCGACCGCAGCGUGGGGAACCACGCGCAGGCCUUUGGCAGCUGCCGGCCUCCAACAGCCGCAGAGGUGCAGCGUGCAGGCAGAGCCGGGCGCCAGGAGUCGUGCUGCCAGGACACUGGGUGAGAGCUGUGCAAGGGCAGGAUCCUGGCGAGAGGUGGAGAUCCAAGCAAUGUCAGAUGUGGGCAUCUGGUGCUCAAAGGAAAUAGCGGCGUCAGCUUGUCAUACUUUGUUCCUGCAUCCUGUGUAGAGAAACUGCAGCCCACGCACAGCUGGAAUUGCUGCCAACAAAAAGCAAUGGUA